AACGAACGCUGGCGGCAGGCUUAACACAUGCAAGUCGAACGGGUGUAGCAAUACAUCAGUGGCAGACGGGUGAGUAACACGUGGGAACCUUCCUCGUUGUACGGGACAACUCAGGGAAACUUGAGCUAAUACCGUAUACGUCCGAGAGGAGAAAGAUUUAUCGCAAUGAGACGGGCCCGCGUCGGAUUAGCUAGUUGGUGGGGUAACGGCCUACCAAGGCGACGAUCCGUAGCUGAUCUGAGAGGAUGAUCAGCCACACUGGGACUGAGACACGGCCCAGACUCCUACGGGAGGCAGCAGUGGGGAAUCUUGGACAAUGGGCGCAAGCCUGAUCCAGCCAUGCCGCGUGAGUGAAGAAGGCCUUAGGGUUGUAAAGCUCUUUUGCCAGGGACGAUAAUGACGGUACCUGGAGAAUAAGCCCCGGCAAACUUCGUGCCAGC
This 440-nucleotide ribosomal RNA is filed under the name uncultured bacterium. Its description in RNAcentral is "bacterial SSU rRNA". It matches the Rfam family "Bacterial small subunit ribosomal RNA", at positions 29 to 512 of the family's 1533-position model. The record is from RNAcentral.